CUUACGCUCCGGCAACGUCUCCGAGCACGGGAUCUCGUUAUGAUUUCAAGCUUACCUGUGUCUCUUGAGAACGUCGAACAAAAUCAAUUAGGUACUUCAGUACCAUGUGGAUACGGUCGUAUAAACAUAAAUGAACCAGCGUAUACGAGUGAUAUUAACAUAAUAAAACAUGUUUGAAGUAGAAGCUAAUUAAGGUUUUCUUGACAUUCGUAAUGUUUAACCUACAGAUAUUUAUGCAGAUCUAAACUUUUUCGAAACCGGUAAUACAAAAAAAAGUUACACAGACGCCGAAUAAAUGAAUAUUUGUGAAAGGAAGGUUGAAUGCUUGAUGGAUGAAGCGAAGCAUAAUCCAGUUUCUGCACGACCACUUUUGUAAC
Long non-coding RNA from Nomia melanderi (Alkali bee), 377 nucleotides. RefSeq lists it as uncharacterized. NCBI's taxonomy places the organism in Eukaryota, Metazoa, Arthropoda, Insecta, Hymenoptera, Halictidae. The record is from RefSeq and is a predicted model, not a curated record.